This 651-nucleotide ribosomal RNA is filed under the name Actinomadura sp. YIM 76965. RNAcentral's name for it is "bacterial SSU rRNA". It matches the Rfam family "Bacterial small subunit ribosomal RNA", at positions 171 to 831 of the family's 1533-position model. The record is from RNAcentral. Lineage: Bacteria; Bacillati; Actinomycetota; Actinomycetes; Streptosporangiales; Thermomonosporaceae.
GGAUACGACCAUUGCGGGCAUCCGUUGGUGGUGGAAAGUUUUUUCGGUCGGGGAUGGGCUCGCGGCCUAUCAGCUUGUUGGUGGGGUGACGGCCUACCAAGGCGACGACGGGUAACCGGCCUGAGAGGGCGACCGGUCACACUGGGACUGAGACACGGCCCAGACUCCUACGGGAGGCAGCAGUGGGGAAUAUUGCGCAAUGGGCGGAAGCCUGACGCAGCGACGCCGCGUGGGGGAUGACGGCCUUCGGGUUGUAAACCUCUUUCAGCGGGGACGAAGCCCUUUGGGGUGACGGUACCUGCAGAAGAAGCGCCGGCUAACUACGUGCCAGCAGCCGCGGUAAUACGUAGGGCGCGAGCGUUGUCCGGAAUUAUUGGGCGUAAAGAGCUCGUAGGCGGUUUGUCGCGUCGGAUGUGAAAGCCCAUGGCUUAACUGUGGGUCUGCAUUCGAUACGGGCAGACUAGAGGUAGGUAGGGGAGCAUGGAAUUCCCGGUGUAGCGGUGAAAUGCGCAGAUAUCGGGAGGAACACCGGUGGCGAAGGCGGUGCUCUGGGCCUUACCUGACGCUGAGGAGCGAAAGCGUGGGGAGCGAACAGGAUUAGAUACCCUGGUAGUCCACGCCGUAAACGUUGGGCGCUAGGUGUGGGGUUCU